This 492-nucleotide ribosomal RNA is filed under the name uncultured bacterium. Its description in RNAcentral is "partial 16S ribosomal RNA". It matches the Rfam family "Bacterial small subunit ribosomal RNA", at positions 29 to 507 of the family's 1533-position model. The record is from RNAcentral.
AGUGAACGCUGGCGGUAGGCCUAACACAUGCAAGUCGAACGGCGGCACCGUAAGAGCUUGCUCUUACGGGUGGCGAGUGGCGGACGGGUGAGGAAUACAUCGGAAUCUACUUUUUCGUGGGGGAUAACGUAGGGAAACUUACGCUAAUACCGCAUACGACCUACGGGUGAAAGCAGGGGAUCUUCUGACCUUGCGCGAUUGAAUGAGCCGAUGUCGGAUUAGCUAGUUGGCGGGGUAAAGGCCCACCAAGGCGACGAUCCGUAGCUGGUCUGAGAGGAUGAUCAGCCACACUGGAAGUGAGACAGGGUCAAGACUCCUGCGAGAGGCAGCAGUGGGGAAUAUUGGACAAUGGGGGAAAGCGUGAUACAGCCAUACCGAGUGGGUGAAGAAGGCCUUCGGGUUGUAAAGACCUUUUGUUGGGAAAGAAAAGCAGCAGGUUAAUACCCCGCUGUUCUGACGGUACCCAAAGAAUAAGCACCGGCUAACUUCGUG